AUUGAACGCUGGCGGCAUGCCUUACACAUGCAAGUCGAACGGCAGCACGGACUUCGGUCUGGUGGCGAGUGUCGAACGGGUGAGUAAUGUAUCGGAACGUACCUUUCAGUGGGGGAUAACGUAGCGAAAGUUACGCUAAUACCGCAUAUUCUGUGAGCAGGAAAGCAGGGGAUCGAAAGACCUUGCGCUGAUUGAGCGGCCGAUAUCAGAUUAGCUAGUUGGUGGGGUAAAGGCCUACCAAGGCGACGAUCUGUAGCGGGUCUGAGAGGAUGAUCGGCCACCCUGGAACUGAGACGGGGACAAGAGUACUAAGGGAGGCACCAGUGGGGAAUUUUGGACAGUGGGGGCAAACCUGGUCCAGCCGUGCCGCGUGAGUGAAGACGGCCUUCGGGUUGUAAAGAUGUUUCGGCCGGGAAAAAAUCGCAUAGGCUAAUACCAUGUGUGGAUGACGGUACCGGAAUAAGAAGCACCGGCUAACUACGUG
Molecule: ribosomal RNA, 484 nt
Filed under: uncultured bacterium
Lineage: Bacteria
Description: partial 16S ribosomal RNA
Rfam family: Bacterial small subunit ribosomal RNA
Source: RNAcentral